GUGAGGGACGACGGCCUUCGGGUUGUAAACCUCUUUUAGCAGGGAAGAAGCGAAAGUGACGGUACCUGCAGAAAAAGCACCGGCUAACUACGUGCCAGCAGCCGCGGUAAUACGUAGGGUGCAAGCGUUGUCCGGAAUUAUUGGGCGUAAAGAGCUCGUAGGCGGUUUGUCGCGUCUGCUGUGAAAACUGGAGGCUCAACCUCCAGCCUGCAGUGGGUACGGGCAGACUAGAGUGCGGUAGGGGAGAUUGGAAUUCCUGGUGUAGCGGUGGAAUGCGCAGAUAUCAGGAGGAACACCGAUGGCGAAGGCAGAUCUCUGGGCCGUAACUGACGCUGAGGAGCGAAAGGGUGGGGAGCAAACAGGCUUAGAUACCCUGGUAGUCCACCCCGUAAACGUUGGGAACUAGAUGUGGGGACCAUUCCACGGUCUCCGUGUCGCAGCUAACGCAUUAAGUUCCCCGCCUGGGGAGUACGGCCGCAAGGCUAAAACUCAAAGGAAUUGACGGGGGCCCGCACAAGCGGCGGAGCAUGCGGAUUAAUUCGAUGCAACGCGAAGAACCUUACCAAGGCUUGACAUAUACGAGAACGCACGAGAGAUCGUGAACUCUUUGGACACU
This 616-nucleotide ribosomal RNA is filed under the name Microbacteriaceae bacterium. RNAcentral's name for it is "bacterial SSU rRNA". It matches the Rfam family "Bacterial small subunit ribosomal RNA", at positions 401 to 1028 of the family's 1533-position model. Lineage: Bacteria; Bacillati; Actinomycetota; Actinomycetes; Micrococcales; Microbacteriaceae. The record is from RNAcentral.